AAACUGGAGAUGGCGACCGGCGCACGGGUGAGUAACACGUAUCCAACCUGCCGAUAACUCGGGGAUAGCCUUUCGAAAGAAAGAUUAAUACCCGAUGGCAUAAUAGAACCGCAUGGUUUGAUUAUUAAAGAAUUUCGGUUAUCGAUGGGGAUGCGUUCCAUUAGGCAGUUGGUGGGGGUAACGGCCCACCAAACCUUCGAUGGAUAGGGGUUCUGAGAGGAAGGUCCCCCACAUUGGAACUGAGACACGGUCCAAACUCCUACGGGAGGCAGCAUG
This 276-nucleotide ribosomal RNA is filed under the name uncultured bacterium. RNAcentral's name for it is "partial 16S ribosomal RNA". It matches the Rfam family "Bacterial small subunit ribosomal RNA", at positions 79 to 353 of the family's 1533-position model. The record is from RNAcentral.